GGAGGGGCAAGAGAAACAGAAAGAGAAGCAGCCCAGAUGAGAGAAAAGGUGCUUUAACUUUGAUUGCUGCAGAUUUUCUUGGCGUUUAAGUGCUGAUGAAGCAGGUAAGACUUGCCUUGCUUCCCCUUUACCUUCCACCAUGAUUGUAAGUUUCCUGAGGCUCUCCAACCCAUACGGAACAGUCAGUCAAAACUGAAGAUCAGCUUUUGAUCAUGAAGAGGAGAUUAGGUCACAGAUGUUCAAUAAGGAAAGACCAUGUGAAGACACAAGAAGAUGGUCAUCUGCAAGCCAAGAGAAAUGUCUCAAAAGGAACUGGCCCUGCUGACAUCUUGACCUUGAAUUUCCAGCCUCAGGUUCUUGGAUGCUUGAUGGAAUUAAGGAUUUGAGAACAUGAGAACAAACAGGAAUAUGCAGGAAAUCUUGAGGACACAGGAGAUGAAGUCAACCUGUGGCCAAGGGAGAGGGAGGGACAUGAGAAGCUUUGUGAAAGAUGUCAGCGCAAACCUCAGGCAAGUGCCACCCAACCUAGAGCUGUGGAUUGAAGUUUGGCGUUGGGGUGUCAGCCUGUGAUUUCCUGAUCUCCAACUCCACUCCUCUUAAGUCACCCAGCCUAAGGCACUGAACCUCAUCAUCAGAACCUCAGAGUCCAACAUCUUGACCAUAGCCUUGCAACCCCACUGUUAGGUGAGUUUCAAGUUCUCACUCCCCAUAAACUUCUUCAGACCACUGCUCCCUCGAAUGACUUUGUUUCCUCCCAGGUCAUCAGUUUCCUUAGUCAAUUUCCAAGUCCUAUCAGUUGUAGACACUACGAUUGGUCAUCCCAUCUGAGUGACUAUUUCACUUAAACUUGCCUUUCCUCCUCUGUUUGCAAUAACUCUCAUACAUAGCUCUAGCUUAACAUCCACGUUGCCUUCUCUAUUCUUACCUCCAGGACAGCAGAACACUAAACAUUAAGUUCUUCAAUGCUAAAAAACAUCCUGUAAUCACGAAAAUCAGCCCAGUACAAAUUCAUGCUCACUACACGUGGUUCUCAGCUGCUGUGGGGCCUCUCUCUUCCCUUCAGUAUCCACAGACUUGCAACGUUCUUCUCAGCCUUCCUUCGCACCACUAAAUUAUCUCAUUAAGUCAGGACCAUCUGGUGGGAACUCCUUUAACUUCCCAGGGCCCAGGAAAAAUAAACCAUAUUUACCCAUGCCUCCCUCUUUCUCCAUGUGCCUUUUCAAGAAGAGAGGCUCUUCUCCCAGUGUCUCUCUCCCUGAUUCCAUAUCACCCUCUCUUCUUUGGGAUACUUCUCCAAAGAGUGUGGUCUUUCAGGUAUCCUUACUGUCUUAUGACUGAGUCAUUCCACUUGGCUUAUGAACCUCUUUGUUGCUUAUUCCAGGCACUCUGAGUCUCCCCUGCAUUCAGUCUCCCUUCAGCAUACAACACUGUUCAUGAUGCUUUUUGUAAAGCCCUCUGCUUCCCCAUCCUCCUUAGAUCUUCUGCUACUACUCUGGCCAGUUUUUUCUCUGUCUGCUGCUUCUCCUUCCCUUGACCUAUUACUUCCUUCCUCCUCCUGAAGAAAUCUGAUCUGCAGCUCCUCUUCUGUUUUCAUCAGUGUGCUCACUCUUGAUGCUGCUGCUCCUGCAGCUACUGCCAAGUCUCACUUGAUAGACAGUACCCACUCCAUAUGGGGCAAGAAUAAAAAUCACCAAAAAUAGACAGUUAUAAACAAAUGUCCCUGCCCAUAAGAUUUAUGUAAUCGUACUUUAUCCAUGUGUUAUAUUGCUAAGGACAUGGUGACUGUGACAGAUGUAACAUAAUAGAUGCAAUUGACAUAUACAGUAUUUCUUAUAGCUAAACUACAGCUAAGUUAUUAUAUUUGAAAAAUAAUAUAUGAGACACAUCAAUAAUUGGUUUCAUUGUUAAAAAUAUACACACAAAGCAUCUUAAAAUAAUGUAACUAUAACAACCUGAUAACUAUAAUAAAUAUAAACAAAAAUUGUAAUAUAAGGUUGUGCUUAAUUUUUUUUUUUUUUUUUUUUUUUUUUUUUUUGAGACGGAGUCUCGCUCUGUCGCCCAGUUCCGGACUGCGGACUGCAGUGGCGCACUGCAAGCUCUCGGCUCACUGCAAGCUCUGCUUCCUGGGUUCACGCCAUUCUCCUGCCUCAGCCUCCCGAGUAGCUGGGACUACAGGCGCCUGCCACCGCGCCCGGCUAAUUUUUUGUAUUUUUUUUAGUAGAGACGGGGUUUCACCUUGUUAGCCAGGAUGGUCUCGAUCUCCUGACCUCGUGAUCCACCCGCCUUGGCCUCCCAAAGUGCUGGGAUUACAGGCGUGAGCCACCGCACCCAGCCGGUUGUGCUUAAUUUUUGAAAUUUAAAGGAUAUCUUAAGAUUUUAGUUAAAUAACAUCACAAAUAUAUGCAAGAUAAUUUCAAAUACUGCUCUCUUUUUCUUUUGAACGUGUUAUAACAAAAAACUAUACAAUAUUAUUUACUUGAGAAUAUAAAGGUUGCUUGCAAAUUAACUACUCAAUGAGACCUCAAGAAUACUUGAACAGGUAAUUUGUAGAAAAAGAAAUAAGGCUAGCCAUGAAUAUAAAAAGAUUUUCUAUCACAGAGAAAAUGGAGAAUGUGCCAACUUAAAACUAUGAGAUUGUUUGUUAGUAUGUUAGUGUGGGAGCAUGCUUUAGCAGCACUGGGCAAAGCAGCAUAUAUGGUGUGGUGAUGCACCAAAUAAAUCUGGCCCUGCUGAUUCUUUUAAAAAUAUAUUUUCUAAGAAAAAUAUAAAUAAUAUGUACAAAAAUGCUUAUAGCAAAGAUGCUUACCACAGCAUUAUUUUAAAUAAUGCUUUAAUUAUUUAUAAAAUUUAAAAACUACCAAAUAUUCCUUUGACCUUAGAACUUCAUCAAAAUCUAGUAUGUUCUCAAUACACCAUUUUUACUAAUGAAUUAGUUAUUGCAUGUAAAGCACCUGCCUAGCAUAGACAAUGAAAUGUAGCAUAUAUAAUAAUAGUCAUCAUAAUACUUAAAGUAAAACCAUAGUCAAUAUUUUUUCUUAUAAAUUUAGUGUACUUCACGCAAGUGUUCGAAAAAAGAAUGAGUACGUUUAUAAAGGAGACUUGUAUACUAUCAAAACUAUUUAAUGUUGUUGGAUAUUUUUCUCAAUCAAAAUUAUAACUGCAGCCACUCAUAAUAUUACACACAUAUAAUGCUUUCAUCUUCUCUUUUAUUGGCUAUC
RNAcentral lists this long non-coding RNA (3218 nucleotides) under Homo sapiens (human). Its description in RNAcentral is "novel transcript". The record is from RNAcentral. Lineage: Eukaryota; Metazoa; Chordata; Mammalia; Primates; Hominidae.